RNAcentral lists this non-coding RNA (22 nucleotides) under Mus musculus (house mouse). Lineage: Eukaryota; Metazoa; Chordata; Mammalia; Rodentia; Muridae. The record is from RNAcentral.
UGAUGUUGUUUGUGGCAGUGCC